Molecule: long non-coding RNA, 1145 nt
Organism: Felis catus (domestic cat)
Lineage: Eukaryota; Metazoa; Chordata; Mammalia; Carnivora; Felidae
Exons: 7
Source: RefSeq, a predicted model, not a curated record
UGUGAUCCUACUUUGCUUUCCUGAUACAUAGUAUACUUUACAAACCUUGUCCCAUGUCAAUAACAUAAACAAUGUGCGACGUGAGAGGUAAACGCCAUUCCAGGAAUCCAAAUGUGCUGUUUGCCCAAAUAACAUUAUUAUUAGCGUGAGAAGAAUACGGUUACUCUCCCUUAUCUGCAGUUUUCCUUUCUGCAGUUUCAGUUCCCUGCUAUCAACCGCGGUCCAGAAGCAGAUGGAUGGUCCUCCUUCUGACGAAUCGGCAGAACGUCAAUAGAAGCCUAAGUUUACGUCAGAAUGCUGCGUCAUUACCUCGCUUAGUUUCGCCCAGGCAUUUUAUCACCUCACAUCAUCGCAUGAAGGGGAAGGAGAGUGCUGAUGUGUCUUGUACUGUCAACUUAAAUAUCUCCAUACAGACAUGACAUAUAUCACUUCACUUCCAACCCAUUGGCUCUCCAGUGUGCCUAGAAGGAAAAGAGAAACAAACAGCUCCAGAAGGGCCGUUCUGGGGAGGACAUGAGGCACAAGGUAUAAGGCCACAGAGAGGAGCCACAAACUAUCAAGGAGAUGUGGAUGUAGAGACAAGAGGUGAAAAUGGUUAAUUGCAAAAAGUGUGCGAGAGUUAUACCAGCAAGUGUUGUCAUACUCGGGAUGGCAGUGGAAUGUGCAGAAAUACGAAGACAUCAUAGGAAUUUCUGUUUCUAGCCUUGAUAAAGUAAUAAUGACUGGAUUUACCCUCUCAAGCAAUCUUAAAAUGGACAAAAUAUAUUCAACAACAGAUUUCGGACACUGGACAACAGGUGGGCAGGAGAAGGAUCCGGGAACAAAUGAGGCCUUCCAUCUCAUGUCCCCCAGCAACACCCACACCCCUUUGUCAAGCAGCAUGGAAAUGAUCACAGGAAUUUUGUAUAGAGACAAGAGGUAAUUGAGUUGGAGAUUAUUUGUGGGACAUUUGGAGACAGAAACAGAGCAGUACAGAGGAAAAAUAUGUGGAGACGCAGAGAGGAUGCCAUCUACAAGCAAGGAGUGCCUGAGGCUUCCAGAAACUCUGAAGUAGACACAGUCCUCAUAAAGAACAGACCCUGCAGAUGCCUGAUCUUGAACUUCUAACCUCCAGAACUGAGACAAUACAUAUCUGUUGUAAGCCA